Molecule: ribosomal RNA, 433 nt
Filed under: uncultured bacterium
Lineage: Bacteria
Description: partial 16S ribosomal RNA
Rfam family: Bacterial small subunit ribosomal RNA
Source: RNAcentral
AGCGAACGCUGGCGGCAUGCCUAACACAUGCAAGUCGAACGAGACCUUCGGGUCUAGUGGCGCACGGGUGCGUAACGCGUGGGAACCUGCCCUUAGGUUCGGAAUAACUCCCCGAAAGGGGUGCUAAUACCGGAUCAUGUCUUCGGACCAAAGAUUUAUCGCCUUUGGAUGGGCCCGCGUUGGAUUAGCUAGUUGGUAGGGUAAAAGCCUACCAAGGCGACGAUCCAUAGCUGGUCUGAGAGGAUGAUCAGCCACACUGGGACUGAGACACGGCCCAGACUCCUACGGGAGGCAGCAGUGGGGAAUAUUGGACAAUGGGCGAAAGCCUGAUCCAGCAAUGCCGCGUGAGUGAUGAAGGCCUUAGGGUUGUAAAGCUCUUUUACCCGGGAUGAUAAUGACAGUACCGGGAGAAUAAGCUCCGGCUAACUCCGUG